This 897-nucleotide long non-coding RNA is filed under the name Bos indicus x Bos taurus (hybrid cattle). Its description in RNAcentral is "lncRNA (ENSBIXG00005020810.1)". Lineage: Eukaryota; Metazoa; Chordata; Mammalia; Artiodactyla; Bovidae. The record is from RNAcentral.
UUAUAGCCUAUUUCAUGAAAUGCUUUGUACAUUUGAAUAUAUAGCAGGAGCGGAAGGAUUGUUGGAAGGCCAAGUGUACAAGCAACAGAAUAGAAAGAUAAGGAGGUACCUGUGCGAACACAGAAGGUCCACCCCUGACGAACACCUCGAUAAGCUGUUGGCUCUCAGGCUUUACUUCCUUGGCAGAGAAAUGGAAGCUGACAGCUUUAUGACGGAUUGUCUUCUAUGGCAAAUCUCGCCUAGGAUUAGGAAAACAAUCUAACAAAGUAAACUUUGCAGUUCAGUGAACAUAAACCAGGCACAGAUGAGAUGCUUCGGAAAAACGAAGUUGCUGAAGAGCAUUCAGUUUGUUACAAAUAUAGCAGGAACAAAUUUCCCCACCAUAAACCCUGACAGGGAUGCUUCUAGAAGAGACUUCCCAGGGCAACUCACCAGAAGAGAUGUCUCCCUUCCAUGGUCACUGGCCUCGGUCAGCAAUGGUUUUAACCCAAAGGAACAAAAACCAAACAACAGAAGGCUGGAAAGACUGCAGAAUCAUCCUUUGAAACCCAUCAGAAGAGGACACAGAGAAACUCAAAUGAACUGCACCCCAGAGAGUGAGGAAUGCUUUCCAGGAGAAAAAGGACCAAACACUGGUCUCAUACCCGGCACAACUUCAGCAGAAGAAAUCCAUUCAUAGACUUAGUAGUCAAAAAUCUAAUGACCUUUUAAUAGUCUCAUGUGGGAAGCGUGAUUGAUUACAAUUCAAAGAAGCUUCAGCAAGCCGCAAGGCAAGUCUCUACUCACUCACCAGGUCUCUUCCAUGGGUCUUCUCUCAGUGCUUGGGUGUAGUGACCUAAAGAGAAGGAGAGGAGAUUUGAGAGAGAUGCCCCUUGAGAUGGAGUCUAUUUCUAUCUA